UGUUAAAAAAAAAUUCAUUUGUACUGUUAAAAACUGGCAUGGUUGAUAAAAUAACCAGACAGUAACAAGUGACUUGUAACAUAUACCUCGUGCUGAUGUACAAGGACCAGUUUUUAAUAGUAAAAAUGGAUGAAAUUUUUAACA
This is a non-coding RNA of Gossypium raimondii (Peruvian cotton), 144 nucleotides long. The record is from Rfam. NCBI's taxonomy places the organism in Eukaryota, Viridiplantae, Streptophyta, Magnoliopsida, Malvales, Malvaceae.